GAUGAACGCUAGCGGCAGGCUUAAUACAUGCAAGUCGAGGGGCAGCAAGGGUAGCAAUACCUGUUGGCGACCGGCAAACGGGUGCGGAACACGUACAGAACCUUCCUUUAAGCGGGGGAUAGCCCGGAGAAAUCCGGAUUAAUACCCCAUAGUAAUAUUUAAUGGCAUCAUUAGAUAUUUAAAGAUUUAUCACUUAGAGAUGGCUGUGCGGCUGAUUAGGUAGUUGGUGUGGGUAAGGCCCACCAAGCCAGCGAUCAGUAACUGGUGUGAGAGCACGACCAGUCACACGGGCACUGAGACACGGGCCCGACUCCUACGGGAGGCAGCAGUAAGGAAUAUUGGUCAAUGGACGCAAGUCUGAACCAGCCAUGCCGCGUGAAGGAUGAAGG
RNAcentral lists this ribosomal RNA (389 nucleotides) under uncultured bacterium. Its description in RNAcentral is "bacterial SSU rRNA". It matches the Rfam family "Bacterial small subunit ribosomal RNA", at positions 28 to 414 of the family's 1533-position model. The record is from RNAcentral.